GAUGAACGCUGGCGGCGUGCCUAAUACAUGCAAGUCGAGCGAAUGGAUUAAGAGCUUGCUCUUAUGAAGUUAGCGGCGGACGGGUGAGUAACACGUGGGUAACCUGCCCAUAAGACUGGGAUAACUCCGGGAAACCGGGGCUAAUACCGGAUAACAUUUUGAACCGCAUGGUUCGAAAUUGAAAGGCGGCUUCGGCUGUCACUUAUGGAUGGACCCGCGUCGCAUUAGCUAGUUGGUGAGGUAACGGCUCACCAAGGCAACGAUGCGUAGCCGACCUGAGAGGGUGAUCGGCCACACUGGGACUGAGACACGGCCCAGACUCCUACGGGAGGCAGCCGUAGGGAAUCUUCCGCAAUGGACGAAAGUCUGACGGAGCAACGCCGCGUGAGUGAUGAAGGCUUUCGGGUCGUAAAACUCUGUUGUUAGGGAAGAACAAGUGCUAGUUGAAUAAGCUGGCACCUUGACGGUACCUACCAGAAAGCCACGGCUAACUACGUGCCAGCCGCCGCCGUAA
Molecule: ribosomal RNA, 514 nt
Filed under: uncultured bacterium
Lineage: Bacteria
Description: partial 16S ribosomal RNA
Rfam family: Bacterial small subunit ribosomal RNA
Source: RNAcentral